UUUAAAUGGAAAUUCAGGAACCUGGAAACUUUCAACCAAACAUUCAGACACACAAUUUAUUUGUUUAGUUUUUAUAGGAAACGACUCAUUUAGUUGUAUUUUAUUCCAUUCAGUUGGAAAUUAUUUUUAUUAAUUGGAUAAAACUAUAAGCAAAUAUCUGUUUGAUGGUUUUGGCAUAAUAUAUGACAUAAUAUAUACCAACCCCUAUUGGGUAAAGGGCGGGACCAAAUAGGGUUUAAGUCUCAAAUAAUCUUCUUCUGACCUGCAUAUGUCAAAAUUAAAUUUUAUCAAUGUCAAUGCCAAGGUUGCAGUUACUGCAAAUAUAACCUACGAUAUAUAUCAGGUAUGGCCCCACAUAAAGGAAAAGGCCGGUGUGAUUAUACAAUCAGUAUCUUGUUUUCUGGAGAUUAUCUGGAAAAUGCAGAAAGCUAAACUUUCUAAAUCUUUAUAUGGUACUGUACUGUGAUUUAUUUUUUUGUUGUUUGUUUGUUUGUUUGUUUUUUGUUUUGUUUUUGUUUAACGUCCUAUUAGCAGCCAGGGUCAUUUAAGGACAUGCCAGGUUUAGGACGUGGAGGAAAGCCGGGGUACCCGGAGAAAAAAACCACCGGCCUACUGUCAGUACCUGGCAACUGCCCCACAUAGGUUUCGAACUCGCAACCCAGAGGUGGAGGGCUAGUGUUAAAGUGUCGGAACACCUUAAACACUCGGCCACCGCGGCCCCACUGUACUGUGAAAUGUAGAUGUGAAAUUAAAAGAACGAAAAAUGACGAAUGCCAGUUAGUUGGACAUGGGUAGAAGUAUAUACAAUGGCACGUCUGAUGUGUGAAUUGACACGUGUCUCGACCUUUAGACAUGUGUCAAUCAGAUUCUGGGUGUUGGACCUUGCCAGGUGGUACUUCGUGGACCAUGAUGGAAUGACCUUCGAGUGUAUCAUAUGCGGGAGAAUGGAACCAUAUAGAGAAAGAAGAUUCUCUGAAGAGGAGUUGAAGUUGAUUCAUCAUACCGACUGUCGAGUACGAAAGAAUGGAGUCCGGGUACGCUCCUGAUACCAAAGUAACCGAGAACACACGUGUUUAAUAUGAUCGACGGAAACCUUAUUUCAACACCAUUUUUCGAUCUAUUGAGGCAAAAUGCAAUUUAUUCGACAGAAAUAGAACUGCAAAAUACUUUUGAAACUUGCAAUGUCAACAUCUUGGUUUUGUGGCGAAGUUUGGCAACCCCCACUCAGAAUUGGGUUCAGCAAGUUUUACGUCAAAUAUACAUAAUGUCAUGCUGUAGUUGGCAAUGGUUCGUGAUUGUCAUUUUCAUGUAUUUUUUGUUUGGAAUAUCAAUUAAAUGUCACCAUAUACACGUAUAUGGUGACCAUAUUCAACCACA
Pecten maximus is the source of this 1377-nucleotide long non-coding RNA. RefSeq lists it as uncharacterized. The record is from RefSeq and is a predicted model, not a curated record. NCBI's taxonomy places the organism in Eukaryota, Metazoa, Mollusca, Bivalvia, Pectinida, Pectinidae. The transcript is spliced from 4 exons.